This 253-nucleotide ribosomal RNA is filed under the name uncultured bacterium. Its description in RNAcentral is "partial 16S ribosomal RNA". It matches the Rfam family "Bacterial small subunit ribosomal RNA", at positions 524 to 776 of the family's 1533-position model. The record is from RNAcentral.
UACGUAGGCAGCGAGCGUUGCUCGGAUUGACUGGGCGUAAAGGGCGCGUAGGCGGUUCGUACAGUCAGACGUGAAAUUCCUGGGCUCAACCUGGGGGCUGCGUUUGAUACGUGCGGACUUGAGUGCGGAAGAGGGUCGUGGAAUUCCCAGUGUAGAGGUGAAAUUCGUAGAUAUUGGGAAGAACACCGGUGGCGAAGGCGGCGACCUGGUCCGAUACUGACGCUGAGGCGCGAAAGCGUGGGGAGCAAACAGG